RNAcentral lists this ribosomal RNA (497 nucleotides) under uncultured bacterium. RNAcentral describes it as "partial 16S ribosomal RNA". It matches the Rfam family "Bacterial small subunit ribosomal RNA", at positions 28 to 507 of the family's 1533-position model. The record is from RNAcentral.
GACGAACGCUGGCGGCGUGCCUAAUACAUGCAAGUCGAGCGAACAGACGAGGAGCUUGCUCUUCUUACGUUAGCGGCGGACGGGUGAGUAACACGUGGAUAACCUGCCUUGUAGACUGGGAUAACUUCGGGAAACCGGAGCUAAUACCGGAUAACAUAUUGUGUCGCAUGGCUUUUUAUUGAAAGACGGUGUUGCUGCCCUCUAUAGAUGGAUCCCCGCCGCAUUAGCUAGUUGGUAAGGUAACGGCUUACCAAGGCAACGAUGCGUAGCCGACCUGAGAGGGUGAUCGGCCACACUGGAACUGAGACACGGUCCAGACUCCUACGGGAGGCAGCAGUAGGGAAUCUUCCGCAAUGGGCGAAAGCCUGACGGAGCAACGCCGCGUGAGUGAUGAAGGUCUUCGGAUCGUAAAACUCUGUUAUUAGGGAAGAACAAGUGUGUAAGUAACUGUGCACAUCUUGACGGUACCUAAUCAGAAAGCCACGGCUAACUACGUG